UUUUAGAAUUUAAUUUAAAGUCUAACCUGCCCACUGAAAAAUUUUAAAUGGCCGCAGUAUCUUAACUGUGCAAAGGUAGCAUAAUCAUUAGUCUUUUAAUUGAAGGCUGGAAUGAAUGGUUGGAUGAAAUAUUAACUGUUUCAUAAAAAUUUAUAAUAGAAUUUUAUUUUUUAGUCAAAAAGCUAAAAUAUUAUUAAAAGACGAGAAGACCCUAUAAAUCUUUAUAUUUAAAUAAUAUUAAUUAUUUAGAUAAAUUAAAUUAUUAUUAUUUUAAAUAUUUUAUUGGGGCGAUAUUAAAAUUUAAUAAACUUUUAAUUUAUUAUAUACAUAAAUUAAUGAAUUAUUGAUCCAUUUAUAAUGAUUAAAAAAUUAAGUUACUUUAGGGAUAACAGCGUAAUUUUUUUAGAGAGUUCAUAUUGAUAAAAA
This 426-nucleotide ribosomal RNA is filed under the name Megaselia sp. 41 SH-2017. Its description in RNAcentral is "partial 16S ribosomal RNA". The record is from RNAcentral. Lineage: Eukaryota; Metazoa; Arthropoda; Insecta; Diptera; Phoridae.